AUUGAACGCUGGCGGCAGGCCUAACACAUGCAAGUCGAGCGGAGCGGCGGACGGGUGAGUAAUGUAUCGGAACGUGCCCAGUAUCGGGGGAUAACUACGCGAAAGCGUAGCUAAUACCGCAUACUAUUGGAGCGGCGGAUAUCGGAUUAGCUAGUGGGUGGGGUAACGGCUCACCAAGGCGACGAUCCGUAACUGGUCUGAGAGGAUGAUCAGUCACACUGGAACUGAGACACGGUCCAGACUCCUACGGGAGGCAGUAGUGGGGAAUAUUGGACAAUGGGCGAAAGCCUGAUCCAGCCAUGCCGCGUGUGUGAAGAAGGUCUUCGGAUUGUAAAGCACUUUAAGUUGGGAGGCGUUACCAACAGAAGAAGCACCGGCUAACUUCGUGCCAGCAGCCGCGGUAAUUC
RNAcentral lists this ribosomal RNA (407 nucleotides) under uncultured bacterium. RNAcentral describes it as "partial 16S ribosomal RNA". It matches the Rfam family "Bacterial small subunit ribosomal RNA", at positions 30 to 526 of the family's 1533-position model. The record is from RNAcentral.